This is a long non-coding RNA of Hippocampus comes (tiger tail seahorse), 310 nucleotides long. RefSeq lists it as uncharacterized. The transcript is spliced from 3 exons. The record is from RefSeq and is a predicted model, not a curated record. NCBI's taxonomy places the organism in Eukaryota, Metazoa, Chordata, Actinopteri, Syngnathiformes, Syngnathidae.
GCACCCCACAACGCAAAAUGGCAGCCAGCUGAUUGUUUUAAAGCAAAUUACGCGAUGUCGGCUAUCGUCAGUCCCUACACACAGGUGCGAGGCUCGUCCAGAAGGCUAAUUUGCCGUCCGGGGGUCACAGCAGUUGUGAAGAGAAGAAGGCAGAUGUCCCACGUAGAGUUAUGACUCCAGAGUGUGAACCCGCUACACUUCGGACUAUCCAUCGUUGAAGUGGCGGAAGGAUGGCCGGUCCAGUAAUUACUGAAGGUCACCGCCACUCUGCUUCUUGCAACUCGCUCCUUGCACCACUUGAGCAGAAGAG